Molecule: long non-coding RNA, 201 nt
Filed under: Gossypium raimondii (Peruvian cotton)
Lineage: Eukaryota; Viridiplantae; Streptophyta; Magnoliopsida; Malvales; Malvaceae
Description: long non-coding RNA (GRAI_LNC000251)
Source: RNAcentral
CCGGGCUCAUACUUAUGAUAUUUUUCCAGGCAAAAUUUCAGGCCCAUAUUUCGGGCCGGGCCAGGCCCUGGCCUAGGAGGCGGGCCAAAAAUUUUUCCAAGCCCGGCCCGAACCUGACAUGGCCCGGCCCGAACCCGGCCUGGCAUGGACAGGUCUAAUAGAGAGUGACUUUUCAUUUUCUUUUUGUCUUUUCGAAGUUUG